ACUAUGUCGCCUUUGCCCAGCAUUCAGCCCUUGUCAUUGACGGGACAGAUGCAGGUGGAGGAUGAGAGCAGGCUGCCAGAGCUGAGUGUGGGCAGGGGUGGAGGCAACCUGAAGUAGACACUCUGCUGGGUGCUGGAGCUGCCAAACCCUGCUGGUAAAACAGAGAUGCCCGAAGGAUUUGGAGCCAGACAGGGAGGCUGGGUGGGGGAAACAGCCCAACAUGGUGGGCUAGGGCAUGGGCCCUGGACAACUCCUGUCUGGUGGAGUGCUGGCUUUGCAGUGAGGAUGUGACCUUAGGGAGCUGGGAAGAUUGAAGAGCUCAUUUUUGAACCUCAUUCCUUUCUUGGUUUCCUCAUCUGUAAAGGGGUCAUGUUACUAGGGUCUCGUGUAAACUCUGGCCCCUUGGCCGGCACUCAGCUUCACAGGGGUUGUCUCGGUCCCCAGCUCUCGGGUGCCCCAGCUGGUGAGAGGGUACUGCGCCAGGCGCAGCAGCUCUGCGAGGACAGUGACCCAGGACACCUACCCUUCUCGGCAGCUCAGCCCCUGAAUUCGCACCAUAAAUUUCAAUGAAGUCAUCUGAAGAUCUCACUUGGUUCCUUCUCCUUCCAGAGGCGGGUGGGUGGGAGGCCCAGCUCCCCUUUCAGAGAGGGCCUUCCUCACAUGCUACCCUGUCCAGCCCCACACCGUUUUCGGUGACAGAGGCCUGGACAGAUCCCUGGGUUCAGAGCCCACCCCACUGGAAGUACAGGAGACUGAGUCAGAGGCCAGUCAGGCCGAUGAGAUCAACAGUGAUUUGCCUCCAAGCCCUGAUUCCUCCCUGAGGAAUGCUCCUGAGAAAACGCUGGCUCGCACUCACAGCUGGAGGCUUAAAGUGUCCACUGGGGCAGUUCAACCCUGUCUGCGGGACCCAUCUCCAAGACGUGAGUUGGCACAGCCAUCAGUUCAUCUCCAUGGAUGUCUCCACGGGCAACCUGAGCUCCCACGUGGCAUGGUGAUGGUUCCGAAAGGAGACAAGAGAGACACAGCCACAGAGGACGAGGCCAUAUGAGAUGGAGGCAGAGACUGGAGAGAUGCAGCCAUAAGCACAAGCCAAGGAUGCGCGGGGCCACCAGGAGCUGGGGGAGGGGCCCCAUCAAUGAACAAAUGCAGACAACUCUUCCUGGAGUUUUGCAUUAAAGACAAGAAGCUGGGGGCACAGCGAGGGGGACAUGAGGUCAAGGGGCUGCUGCUUUGUUAGGUAGGGGAGAUUGAGCAUGUUUGAAUCCUGAUGGGAAUGGACAAGCAGCAGGAGCAUCUGAUGGCACAGCAACCAGGGGGCCACCCCUUAAGGACAGGUGGGCCGGCUUGCCUUGGAGCAUGGGUGCUUGCUCACAGGCUGGGGGCAAGGCACAGAUGCGGGAGGCACAGACGCGGUGGUGGGAGCAGCUGGGUCCAUCUUCUCCCAGCUCUGGGCACAGGUGGGAGGCGCGGUGCGUUCUUUCCCUGCAGGCUUCCUGUGCUUCGCCCCAAACCAUCUCCCCAGGUCUGAAUUCCUCUGCUGGUCCAGGAGGGUCUCAGUGUGGUGGGACAAACUUGUUCCAUUGGUGGAUGGAGACACAGUGCAGACAGAGGCUGCAAGCAUCGGAGGGCGUGUCCACGUGGCAGUGUUGGUGUCAUGGCCAUAAGCUUGGCGCUUCCUACAGACUCCAGCCUUGCAUUUUCAGCAGCUGAAGCUGUUCACAGCAUCCUUCUCACAGGAGUUUUGGGAGCAUAACCAGUUGAGUUGUCUCCAGGAGUACGGAAUUUCCCUCUUGUUUCUGCCCACCUGAGGGGCUGCACUUGGACCCUGCCAUGGGAAGAGAUCUGUUCCUCUCUGCCUCCUGGGGGACCCCUCCUUGUGUGAGUCCCCUCUGAAGCCCUGCAGAACCUGGUCUGGGUCCUGAACAGUCCUGCCGAGGCCUGGCCUGUUGGACACAGAUGCUCAAAAUCUCCUCAGAGCACGCUGGCCCCUGUGGAGUGGCUCCUGUUCCUGGGGGGCUGAAGUGAAUGAGGGUGUUUCUCUGAUCCGUAAGAGCCUCCUGCCCAUUCAUCCAUCAACAGCCUCUGGGGACACCUUCUGCAGCAGGAAUCACUGGUGUUGGGUUGAUCUAUGAACAUGAGACACAGAAACACCAGCUGGAGGAACCCAUGAGGCCCAGCGGCAGGAACCAGCUUAGUCCAUGGGCCACUGAGUGCCCGCACCAGGGCCCCGGGGCUUUCUGACAGCAGAACAACAGGAGUCAUCCAAACCCUGGAGUGCAGAGGGCAGGACGGGAGAGGCCUUUGCUCCCCCACGGCAGGCCAGGGAGGUGGACAGGCUGGGAGCCUGAAGCCUGAGCAGCCGGAGGCUCGCUCGUUCUCCCAUGGUCACUGUGUUCCCGGAGCCUCAACCACGGGGCAGUGCCUGGUGGGUGUGGUGUCUUGGUGGCAGCCACUGCCUGGCUGUUCUCAGGACCCCAAUCCCAGGUGAAGGCUGCAGUCCUCUUGUGCUGUGUGUGGACGAUUCAGCUCCGUGGGUGGCCACCUUGCCAUGGGGCCACAGCAGCCAUUCCAGAGGCUCCCCCAGUGCCCUCCUCGCCCAGGGUGGGGGUGCUCCCGGGUGUGGUCCAGCUGAGGAGUCUCACCUGCAGGAAAGGUGGCACGUGACGGCUUGCUGGCCUGCGAAGUCUGCCUGGUGGCCAUGGCUCAGGGGCCUGUGUCUCCUGGAUGCCCCCAGCGGGGCCUCUCUUGAAGGGACUUUGUGCUCCUGCCAGGAGAAAACAGCCCUAACAGCUGCCUCCUGGGCCGUUUCCAAACAUUCGUGUGCCAGGUCAGAGAGCACCAGUUCCUUGCCCUUUUGGGUGGUUCCCAACGUGUGGGGUUGGGGCCCUGGCAGCUUCGAACCACCAGCCCCCUUUCACUGAGCGGUUCCUCAUCACCAAGCCUCAGCCAGAGAUGUUAAACUGGAAAAACAAUCACGGACCCCCCGGCGGGGGAAGCAGCUUCUGGUCUGGGGACAGUCAUGAGCACUGCGUGCAGCUGCCCGUGUCCCUUCUUGGUGCCUGGCGGGUAUCAGGGCUCACCCUUGGCCUGGCCACACCUACCGCCUCUCAGGCCCACGCCUCUUCCCGGAAGACACCUGGAGGCUUGAACACCGGCUCACGCCCCUUCCCGAAGAAACCUGGAGGCUCCGACACCGGCCCACGCUCCUUCCGGAAGAAACCUGGAGGCUUGGACGCUGGCCCAUACCCAUUUUUGGACACCGGGGGCUUCAACAUGUGUGGCGUCAGCUCCUCAGCUCUCUCUUCCCUCAGCAUCCCACUGACCCGAAAUUCCAGGAGAUCCCAAGAUGGGCCAAAAACAAAACAAGAAAACAACAAAAACACCCUCUGCAGAAAGUAGAGAGAGGAGGCUCAGGGUGAAGGUGUGAAGUGCUGUGCCCGGCACAAAGCUCACCCGGACAGAGCGGCUCCUUCCCAUCUGAAGCUCCCAUUUUCCGACAGAAAUGAGUUCCGACACGCACUCCGCCGCUGCUCUCUCUCCGCUUUGCAAAGCAGGAACUCAUGAUGUCUGAUGAGAAUCCACUCUGCUCUGGUCUGAGCUGGGACAAUCUUCGUUUGUCCUCUGCCUGUCCAACCCAGCCCUCGCCUGCAGGGCAUCUCAGAGCCCAGCACCUUCCCGGACGCUCCGCUGAGCCCAGAGCCACUUGGAUCUCAGGAACAGCAGAGGGAGGGUGGCCACAGGGUCUUAGCACCGAACCAACAAGUCCGAGGCUGGACAUCUGAGCAGCGGGCGGUUGACAGGGUCCAUGGGCUGACCCCGCGGGCAGAGGACAGGGGUCUCUGCCUCACCCGCUUCCACUGUCCUCGGGUGCACCUGGCCAAGGCCGUCAGCAAACCGAGCCAGGCCUGUGUCCUGGUCCCCUCAUGGGCUCAUGGUCCUCCUGCCACCCUGCGAGAACACCCCCGUGCGUGCUGCCUGCAGCUCCCAGCCGCGAACGGCAGAGGCCCAGUCCCGUCUUCACACCCUCAUCCCGCCUGGCUUUGCAGCGACGUCACCUUUGCCUGGCAACAUUCAGGCGGGGCUGCUCAGGCCUGCUGAUUCCAUCAUUUAAAGAUGCCCAUUUCUUCUAAGCCAGGGAUUUUAUGACUCUAAGGAUUAGAAGCUGUUAUCCCAACCAACCCUGGAGCACUCUAUUCUGAUUUUAUGGUAAGCUUCACUAAUAAACUGUUUAAAACAUAU
This is a long non-coding RNA of Symphalangus syndactylus (siamang), 4239 nucleotides long. RefSeq lists it as uncharacterized. NCBI's taxonomy places the organism in Eukaryota, Metazoa, Chordata, Mammalia, Primates, Hylobatidae. The record is from RefSeq and is a predicted model, not a curated record.